Molecule: long non-coding RNA, 1495 nt
Organism: Syngnathus typhle (broad-nosed pipefish)
Lineage: Eukaryota; Metazoa; Chordata; Actinopteri; Syngnathiformes; Syngnathidae
Exons: 2
Source: RefSeq, a predicted model, not a curated record
GGUAGAGCCAGUGCAAGUGAAGUCAACUUCGGCUGCGUUGGGUUUACUAUGGAAAUAGAAAUGACCCCAAGUUUUAUUAAGAUCUGUGAUUUCUGUAAAGAGAAAAAAAUAAUGUGAUUAGAAGUAGGCGAGAUAUGCAAGAAAUCACAUUCAAUUAUUUUGGUGUGCAUUUAGGAGUACUGUGCAACAAGAAAAACUUGGGACCGGGCAGUGAUUGAAAAGCUCUAAAAGCAGGUAAGCCACUGACUAACGCACAUUGCGCCCAAUGCCAGUUCCACUGUGCGUGUGACAGCGGCUAACCUGGUUUUGGGAAUGCGUCUUGGAGCAGACAAGCCAUCAUUCAACAAGCACGCCUUCACCAUGUCCCAGUAGUGUAUUGCCGUUCGGUCAGGCCUACAUUGGAGGUCCUGCCCCUCCCUUUGUGCACCUACUGUACUUUAUUUAUGGCCUGCAUAGCGAGUGCACGUACUUGUUGGUCCGACCUCUGUGACCUGCUCUCGCAAAUACAACUUACAUACUGGAUACUAAUUAUCAAACGAUUGCAGCAAUUUAGCUGCAAACUAAACCAGGACAUCUUUUUACAGAAAUGCCUUUGAUUGACUGACAUGAUAUGUGUUUUAUAAAGAGACUAUUUGAAUAAGUGAGGGUGAUUUAAUUGCUUUUUUGUAAGAAGUCUUUGAAUUUAUGGGCUAUAUCAUGUGAAGUCAAGCAGCUUUACAUUACAUGUUCCUGGCAAGCGGGUGAGUUUACCUGCAAUACUAUUUAUGUCCACAAGUGGGCGUGAGAGUUCCACCGUAUCGGGUCUGUCCAGACAGUGGAGCAAAAAACACAUGGAUUUGGGAGAUUAUAUAACCCUCCCAGACAGAUCUGUAAUCCAAUUCUUCACAAGUAAUCAUCAUAUCAAAAGUGGCCAUUUUGUGAAGCUUUAAUAUCCCAUUUAUACAAGUACAUGGAGUUGAAGGUAAAAAAAAAAGUUGACUACUGAGCAAUGAGAGUGCCAAUUAGUCGAGGUCAUGCUUUUCAGUCCAAAGGUGGCCCGCAGCCUAAAAGCCACAUCAAAUAUGUGGAAUGUUGUAUGUACAACAUUCCGCAUAUUUGCACAUUACGGGUAAACAUGAGGAAGUUACUGGAGUUUUAUGUUGUGGUGAUUACACAUUUGUGAUUUUUAGUUAUCUAAUACAAGUCCAUCGAUUUCAAUAUAUAUAUAUAUAUAUAUAUAUAUAUAUAUAUAUAUGCAAUAGGUAGGUAGGUAAUACAACAACAGUAGGGCCUACUUAAGGUGCAAACUAUUCAGUUUUUGGACUAUGACAGUUUUCAUGAUUUUCAUGUUUUCAUUUAUGUAUUAGUCGCUUUAAUUUAAAAACAUUGUUGCGAUGGUUUUGGAUGUUAAUUUCUUUCUUUGAAUAAAUCCAAAACAACUCAUUGGCCUAAUAAUCAAUAUUAAUGUUGUGUGAGUCACUAUUUUGAAAUAAAACUUUGAGACUAUAUUCUAUAA